This 253-nucleotide ribosomal RNA is filed under the name uncultured bacterium. RNAcentral's name for it is "partial 16S ribosomal RNA". It matches the Rfam family "Bacterial small subunit ribosomal RNA", at positions 524 to 776 of the family's 1533-position model. The record is from RNAcentral.
UACGUAGGGGGCAAGCGUUGUCCGGAUUUAUUGGGUGUAAAGAGCGUGUAGGCGGCUUUACAGGUCCGUUGUGAAAACUCGAGGCUCAACCUCGAGACGCCGGUGGAAACCGUAAAGCUAGAGUCCGGAAGAGGAGAGUGGAAUUCCUGGUGUAGCGGUGAAAUGCGCAGAUAUUAGGAAGAACACCAGUGGCGAAGGCGGCUCACUGGCCCGGUACUGACGCUGAGGCGCGAAAGCGUGGGGAGCAAACAGG